UACGUAGGGUGCGAGCGUUAAUCGGAAUUACUGGGCGUAAAGCGUGCGCAGGCGGUUUUGUAAGACAGGCGUGAAAUCCCCGGGCUCAACCUGGGAAUGGGCGCUUGUGACUGCAAGCUGGAGUGCGGCAGAGGGGGAUGGAAUUCCGCGUGUAGCAGUGAAAUGCGUAGAUAUGCGGAGGAACACCGAUGGCGAAGGCAAUCCCCCUGGGCCUGCACUGACGCUCAUGCACGAAAGCGUGGGGAGCAAACAGG
Molecule: ribosomal RNA, 254 nt
Filed under: uncultured bacterium
Lineage: Bacteria
Description: partial 16S ribosomal RNA
Rfam family: Bacterial small subunit ribosomal RNA
Source: RNAcentral